This 1438-nucleotide long non-coding RNA is filed under the name Nicotiana benthamiana. Its description in RNAcentral is "long non-coding RNA (NBEN_LNC034495)". The record is from RNAcentral. Lineage: Eukaryota; Viridiplantae; Streptophyta; Magnoliopsida; Solanales; Solanaceae.
UUUAUUACAAGUUAUUACAGCCCAGAAUGAAUAAGAAAAGAAAAGCAAAAUUACAUCAGGAAACUAAAAUUACAACCAAGGAGAGCCUGAUUCAGACUUCCUAUCUGAAGCAUGAAGUAAACCAGCUCCAAAGAUCAAAUUUCCUAAGCCUUUCUCUCAUUUGGGAUGUGUCAGAGUUCCCUAAGAGUCUCAAAUGGACUCCGGGUAGUGAUCAUACCCAAAUAUAUUGCAGAAUUGAAUCAUAGUGCAGUCUGGAAGGGCGAGCCCUCAAAUGUCUAAGUUCAGAGGGAAAUCAAGGUCACAAGGCAAGGCUCACAGGAGGGGGCAGAAGUUAGAAGCUAAGAGAGAGUGUAAGUGCGAGAAGGGAUUCUGGGAAGAGGCAAGGACAAGCGAAUGGUCAUACCUAGAAAUUGAAAGUGCUGGCACACCCCACCAGCUUGAUAGGCCACAUUGUUUGGGAGUUAGGAUCCCCUAAGGGAUCAAGUCCAAACAUGAGCAACAACUUGCAUGUUUCCAUGUUUUGAACUUCAACUUAAAGCAUAUAGAGGGGAACAAGGGUGCAGGGAUUCACCGUAUAAACAAAUACAAAGAAAUAAUCAUGCUAAAUAACAUUGAAUGUAGACAGUAAAGCAAACAUGGGUGUAAAGGAUGUAAAUAAACACAUUGGGAUGAGGCUGAAACCAAAACUAGCACAUACUAGUUUUAAGGAAACAAGAAACUGAAGUAGUAGUCUUGUAAAGCCAAAGUUCAAGCAAUUAGUUAGAAUAAUAUGAUUUUAGAAGAGAACUAUGAUAUUGUAAGUAUCUUAAAGGUGCAAUGUCUGUUCUAAAAAUGCAGAAGGGUCGUACCCUUUUAUAGUGUAGGAAGCAAGCAUAAAUAGGUAAGAAAAUAGUUUGAAAUCAAUUACACAAAGUUUCUCGUUAAUCAAGGGAUUCUGAGUUUAAAUGGGUAGACUAUUUAAGAAAAGAUAUUAAUCAAACACAUCCAAAGCAGCAUAAGAGGGGUAAAUGGAUAGAGGUUUAAUUAAACACGAAGUCUGAUAGUGCACGGUUUAGGCGCAUAAGGAAAUGGAAUCAAUUAACAGCUAGUAAAUCAGAAAUUGAAGAUUUUAUAUGAAUGAACCAAGUCAGAAAGAUGGGAAAAAUUUUGACUUAAGGAAAAUCAGUACUAAUCAAUUAGACUUAUUAAAAGGAAUUUUGAAUCAAUCACAAGUUGGAAAAUCCUUUUGAAUAAAAAUUCCUCAUAUAUAAAAACAUACAUUCACGUUAAACAUGAAGAAAUUUUUCAUGCUAUUCAAUAGAAGAGUCUAGUGUAUGAGAAUCAGGAUUGUGUGAACAAAAGAAAGUCACACUUAGUUCAUAGGCUCAUAAAUAAGUCUGAAAGAGUCCAGGGUUCUCAAACAGAACCCUAGUCCGAUCAUAUGACCAAACUCGGAGGA